Molecule: ribosomal RNA, 402 nt
Filed under: uncultured bacterium
Lineage: Bacteria
Description: bacterial SSU rRNA
Rfam family: Bacterial small subunit ribosomal RNA
Source: RNAcentral
GGGAUAUUGCACAAUGGGGGGAACCCUGAUGCAGCGACGCCGCGUGGGCGAGGGAGCGCCUCGGCGCGUAAAGCCCUUCCGGCGGGGGAGAACGAUGACGGUACCCGACGAAGAAGCACCGGCUAAAUACGUGCCAGCAGCCGCGGUAAUACGUAUGGUGCGAGCGUUGUCCGGAUUUACUGGGCGUGAAGGGGGCGCAGGCGGCGCGCCAAGCCCGAUGUGAAAGCCCGGGGCUCAACCCCGGGACUGCAUUGGGAACUGGCGUGCUGGAGUGCCGGAGGGGCAGGCGGAAUUCCUGGUGUAGCGGUGAAAUGCGUAGAUAUCAGGAGGAACACCGGUGGCGAAGGCGGCCUGCUGGACGGAUACUGACGCUGAGGCCCGAAAGCGUGGGGAGCGAACAGG